Rosa chinensis is the source of this 1106-nucleotide long non-coding RNA. RefSeq lists it as uncharacterized. The record is from RefSeq and is a predicted model, not a curated record. The transcript is spliced from 3 exons. Lineage: Eukaryota; Viridiplantae; Streptophyta; Magnoliopsida; Rosales; Rosaceae.
GCAUCAAUUUGCAGAACUGCUCAUGUUGUUAUCUUCACUUGCAAAUACCCCAUUUCCUCUGCCCUCAUCUGAAAUUGUCCCUUUUCUAGUUGGCAUUCUAGAGUCAGAUUCAAGCAAUGUCAAAACCAAACAGUCAUGUUUGGGUGCACUUCACAACCUAUCCACCAUGUUGGACAAUGCAGGAGAUUUAGUCUCCAAUGGGGUAGUGGACACACUCUUGAAAUUGUCCUCUGAUAAAGAAAUCUCCGAGAAAGCUCUUGCAACAUUGGGGAACUUGGUUGUGACCUUAAUGGGGAAGAAGGCUAUGGAAGAAUAUUUUGUGCUUUAUCAAGCAGAGCGGAAAAAAAGAACCUGAUGAGGCAGAUUUUGAAGAGGCUGAACAAAAAAGGCUAAGCAUGAAUGUUGACAUCACUACUCCAGAAAUCCGUGAAGAAAUGUAUGCUAAAGUUCUUAGUAAGGAGAAGGGGAACUGAGUGAGAGGUGUUGGAGCAGGGGUUACUUGGGUUGAAGUCCCUGGAAUCCAUGUUGAAGAGCGAGGAGUAUCAAGAGAAGUGAAACAGUUGCGAGAGCAAUUGGAAGAGCAAGCGAAAAAGGCACAAGAGAGAGAAGCACACAUGAUGGAGGAACUACAAAGCAAAAUAGCUGAGCAAACAAAACGGAUGGAACAAUUGUUUGAAGUAAGAUGCGUAGAGAUGGCACUCCAAAAAAUGGGAGAGAUGUUUAAAUAAUGCGGAAUAUCAGUGGAUACGCAAGAAGAUGUCAUGCAAACGAUGUCUCAGUUUGCUCGUGACACGUCUCAAAGGACAUCGACUGUUACUUUUUCACCAGAUGAUGAUGUCUACCGUCCUACAAUGCCAUUUGAUUGCCCCAAUAUGCAAAUUGAUUAAUCAAGAAUCAUGCCUCUAUCAGCCAUUAUGCAACAAGAACGGGAGCUAAUCUUGUGGAGAUGGUGGUCAUUGCUUCAAGACUAUUAGGAUUUCAAUUCAAUGUCAUGUUAGGAUUUCAAUCCAGUACUAGAUUAGGAUUUGAAUUCGGCAUUUAUUUCAAAUUAUGUAGACCUUAUAAAUAACAAAACUAUUUAUGUACUUCUGGUAAAAUUUAAAUGU